Molecule: ribosomal RNA, 1000 nt
Filed under: uncultured bacterium
Lineage: Bacteria
Also listed under: 1 other name
Description: bacterial SSU rRNA
Rfam family: Bacterial small subunit ribosomal RNA
Source: RNAcentral
UGGGGGAUAUUGCGCAAUGGGGGCAACCCUGACGCAGCAACGCCGCGUGAAGGAUGAAGGUUUUCGGAUUGUAAACUUCUUUUAUUAAGGACGAAAAAUGACGGUACUUAAUGAAUAAGCUCCGGCUAACUACGUGCCAGCAGCCGCGGUAAUACGUAGGGAGCAAGCGUUGUCCGGAUUUACUGGGUGUAAAGGGUGCGUAGGCGGCUUUGCAAGUCAGAUGUGAAAUCUAUGGGCUCAACCCAUAAACUACAUUUGAAACUGUAGAGCUUGAGUGAAGUAGAGGCAGGCGGAAUUCCCCGUGUAGCGGUGAAAUGCGUAGAGAUGGGGAGGAACACCAGUGGCGAAGGCGGCCUGCUGGGCUUUAACUGACGCUGAGGCACGAAAGCGUGGGUAGCAAACAGGAUUAGAUACCCUGGUAGUCCACGCUGUAAACGAUGAUUACUAGGUGUGGGGGGUCUGACCCCUUCCGUGCCGGAGUUAACACAAUAAGUAAUCCACCUGGGGAGUACGGCCGCAAGGUUGAAACUCAAAGGAAUUGACGGGGGCCCGCACAAGCAGUGGAGUAUGUGGUUUAAUUCGAAGCAACGCGAAGAACCUUACCAGGUCUUGACAUCCAACUAACGAAGUAGAGAUACAUUAGGUGCCCUUCGGGGAAAGUUGAGACAGGUGGUGCAUGGUUGUCGUCAGCUCGUGUCGUGAGAUGUUGGGUUAAGUCCCGCAACGAGCGCAACCCUUGCUAUUAGUUGCUACGCAAGAGCACUCUAAUAGGACUGCCGUUGACAAAACGGAGGAAGGUGGGGACGACGUCAAAUCAUCAUGCCCCUUAUGACCUGGGCUACACACGUACUACAAUGGAUGUUAACAGAGGGAAGCAAGACAGCGAUGUGGAGCAAACCCCUAAAAACAUUCUCAGUUCAGAUUGCAGGCUGCAACCCGCCUGCAUGAAGAUGGAAUUGCUAGUAAUCGCGGAUCAGCAUGCCGCGGUGAAUACGUUCCC